GGGGAUGUAGCUCAGUGGUAGAGCGCAUGCUUCGCAUUGUAUUAUCGCAGAACGUCCUGCGCUUCAAUCUCCCCAGCAUUCCCA
Molecule: transfer RNA, 84 nt
Filed under: Pleuronectes platessa (European plaice)
Lineage: Eukaryota; Metazoa; Chordata; Actinopteri; Pleuronectiformes; Pleuronectidae
Rfam family: tRNA
About the family: Transfer RNA (tRNA) molecules are approximately 80 nucleotides in length.
Source: Rfam by way of RNAcentral